Molecule: unclassified non-coding RNA, 2094 nt
Filed under: Hevea brasiliensis (rubber tree)
Lineage: Eukaryota; Viridiplantae; Streptophyta; Magnoliopsida; Malpighiales; Euphorbiaceae
Source: RNAcentral
GUGAACAAUAAUCUAAAUCCACUCUGGAGGCCCCUACAUCUGAGCAUGCAGCAAUUCGGAAGCAAGGAUAAUCCACUGGUUAUUGAGUGUUUUGAUUUUAACAGCAACGGCAAUCAUGUUCUUAUUGGGAAGCUUCAGAAAUCAGUUGCUGAGCUGGAAAAGCUUCAUAGAGAAGGAAGUGGUGCAAAUUUCAUCUCGCCAUCUCAUCGAGGUCAUGAGAAGGUUCUGAAGGGUCAGCUGUUUGUGGAUCGAUUUGUGGAGAGGGAUCAGCACAGUUUUCUGGAUUAUAUAUCAAGUGGCUUUGAGCUAAAUUUUAUGGUGGCUGUUGACUUUACAGCUUCAAAUGGAAAUCCUCGAAAUCCAGAUUCCUUGCACUAUAUUGAUCCUUCGGGCUGUUUGAAUUCUUAUCAGCGGGCUAUAAUGGAAGUGGGGGAGGUCAUACAAUUUUAUGAUUCUGAUAGGCGUUUUCCUGCUUGGGGCUUUGGGGGAAGGACACCUGCUGGUACAAUAUCACAUUGUUUUAACUUGAAUGGAAGUCCUAGUGGCUUUGAGGUUGAGGGCAUUGAAGGCAUCAUGGCUGCUUAUGAAACUGGUCUACGCAAUGUUGCUCUGGCAGGACCUACUUUAUUUGGACAAGUGAUCAACACAGCUGCUCAAGUUGCUGGUCAGUCUCUCUCGGACAAUAACAACAAGUAUUUUGUCUUGCUCAUUAUAACGGAUGGAGUACUCACAGAUCUUCAAGAAACUAAAGAUGCUUUGGUGAAGGCUUCUGAUCUUCCACUAUCAAUUCUUAUAGUUGGAGUAGGAGGUGCAGACUUUACACAAAUGGAGAUCCUUGAUGCUGAUCAUGGAUGUAGACUCGAGAGUUCUACUGGUAGGGUGGCUACACGAGAUAUAGUACAAUUUGUUCCAAUGCGAGAAGUGCACAGUGGACAGCUGUCUGCGGUUCAAGCCCUUUUGGAAGAGCUGCCUGGACAGUUUUUAUCCUAUGUGCGGUCUAGAGAUAUCAAACCAUUUGCUCGCCAUGGAACUUGAAGAUUUGAUUGGGAGCAGGAGGGGGUUUAUUCCGAAGUUCCUUAAAAAAGAAAACUCACUCUCUGAGCAAGGAGGAAGCCGCCCCUCCUCGAAAGGGGCAGAGGACAGCUGUGGCUUAGCAAGAAAGAGCGGUCAGAACCUGCAGAAAAAUGAAAGGCGAAAGAAAGAACUAGAGAGAGACCUCUUCUCUUGAAUGCCAUAGUUUUCUUUUAUUUUUUUUUUCUUUUGUUAGAGAUAAUAAUUCAUUCGUUAGGAGGCCUUAAAUAGCAGAGAAUACAAGUUUAAAAAGUCCCUAUAGCCUUAAGAAGUAGAAUUGGACAUCACUCCCCACUCUGUGCCUAUUGUGGCAAUGUAGAGACAAUGAAGCACCUUUUUAUCCUCUGCCUGAAGACAAUAGAAUUCUGGUUUCACUCCCAAUUCCAGCUUCGCCCUACCUUUCUUCUUGGAGGUUCAUUGAUUAAAUGUUGGAGUGAGAUUACAGAGCAUUUAAUCUGUCAUGAAGAUGGAAAAAAUCUGAUCAUUAAGCUGGUUUUUCUUUUAUGGCAAGUCUAGAAAGCUAGGAAUUCUCUUGUUUUUAAACAUUAGCUCCUACCUGUCUUUGAAGUGAUUUGGGCAGCUUCAGUACAAAGUGGUGACUUUCUUACCUCACAACAGUUUGAAGAGUACAAUCAUAUCUUACCGGUGCUCUUAGACUCACAGUCCAAUCCCUAGGCUGGUGUUGUGAAGAGCAAUUUUGAUGGGCUUUUAAUAAGCUAAGCAAUUUUGGGGCAGUCUCUGCUUUAGCGAGAUAUUGGCGAGGUACCCCUCUUGGCUAAACCUGGCGUCAAUUUCCAGGUAUCACAAAUCCCCUAGUCAUCGAGAGCUUGACAUGUCGUGAAGCAAUUUUACUUGCUUGGUGUUCUUUUUGAAGGAGAUUCUUUAUCAGUCAUCAUAGUUGCAAAGGGUUUUAAUACUCCUCUUGCCAUUCGGAACAUCUUUGAUGUUAAUCACUUUUCUGAGUUUAUUUAACCAAGUUGAUUUUCUUCAUGUUAAGGGUAGGGUUGUGCACGGUUGUCAGGA